This 73-nucleotide transfer RNA is filed under the name Methanobacteriota archaeon. Its description in RNAcentral is "Euryarchaeota archaeon tRNA-Gln". It matches the Rfam family "tRNA". From Rfam's summary of the family: Transfer RNA (tRNA) molecules are approximately 80 nucleotides in length. Their secondary structure includes four short double-helical elements and three loops (D, anti-codon, and T loops). Further hydrogen bonds mediate the characteristic L-shaped molecular structure. tRNAs have two regions of fundamental functional importance: the anti-codon, which is responsible for specific mRNA codon recognition, and the 3' end, to which the tRNAs corresponding amino acid is attached (by aminoacyl-tRNA synthetases). tRNAs cope with the degeneracy of the genetic code in two manners: having more than one tRNA (with a specific anti-codon) for a particular amino acid; and 'wobble' base-pairing, i.e. permitting non-standard base-pairing at the 3rd anti-codon position. The record is from RNAcentral. Lineage: Archaea; Methanobacteriati; Methanobacteriota.
AGCCCCGUAGUGUAGUGGUCCAUCAUGUUGGNCUUUGGAACCCGCGACCCUGGUUCAAAUCCGGGCGGGGCUA